CGCGUAGGCGGGGAGGUAAGUCGGGUGUGAAAUCCCUCGGCCCAACCGAGGAACUGCGCCCGAGACUGCUUCUCUUGAGUCCCGGAGAGGAAGAUGGAAUUCCCGGCGUAGCGGUGAAAUGUGUAGAGAUCGGGAGGAACACCGGUGGCGAAGGCGGUCUUCUGGACGGUGACUGACGCUGAGGCGCGAAAGCGUGGGGAGCAAACG
RNAcentral lists this ribosomal RNA (207 nucleotides) under uncultured bacterium. RNAcentral's name for it is "partial 16S ribosomal RNA". It matches the Rfam family "Bacterial small subunit ribosomal RNA", at positions 568 to 774 of the family's 1533-position model. The record is from RNAcentral.